Non-coding RNA from Nothobranchius furzeri (turquoise killifish), 698 nucleotides. Lineage: Eukaryota; Metazoa; Chordata; Actinopteri; Cyprinodontiformes; Nothobranchiidae. The record is from RefSeq and is a predicted model, not a curated record.
AGCAGCUCUACGACAGACGGACAGGAGGACAGGGAGGUUCCAGUUAGAACCUGAACCUGGUUCUGAGCUGAUCCUGUGAGAGGAUCACAAACCGGUUUUGCUGGCUCUUAGGAACACGCUGGCCUGGUCCUGGUAUCCCAGAAGCCUUUGCUGUGUGGAGUCGAGGCUGCAGCAGGUGUCCUAAAGGACAACGGAGUCCGGGACACAGACACACACGCGGGACAGAGUUCACGGAUGAGCUGAAGGAGCUGAGAGAAGAGCGGAGAUCUGGUCCAAACCACAUCAAACUCCAGGCCCGCGGGCCAAAUCAGGCCCACAUGAGAUCGUAUUUAUUAACUCUACACAACGCAGAACCGGACUCUGCAUCAGAACCAACGCCAGCGGGACUCACCACGCGUUCGGUUCUGUUUCCUGUUCAAAUCCAAGGAAACGGAAUCCCUUCUCAGCGGUGAUGUCGUCUGUUUUAGUCCUGGAGCCACUCCCCCUACACACACACACGAAAGAACUCCUGGUUAGCUUACAGACCUGCUGGUACCCAGAACCGGGUCUUCAGGUGGGUCCACCGCUGUUCUGCUCAGGAGCUGUGGGCCACUUUGGGGGGAACCUUCCACCUGCUUCCUGGAUUCAGGAUCAGCUGACAGUUUGGAGUGAUCCUAAAGACAUAAAAACAUCUGGGAUGUUGGAGAGACGCUGAAAGG